UACGGGGGGGGCAAGCGUUGUUCGGAAUUACUGGGCAUAAAGGGCUUGUAGGUGGCCAACUAAGUCAGACAUGAAAUCCCUCGGCUUAACCGGGGAACUGCGUCUGAUACUGGAUGGCUGGAGUGUGGGAGAGGGAUGCGGAAUUCCAGGUGUAGCGGUGAAAUGCGUAGAUAUCAGGAGGAACACCGGUGGCGAAGGCGGAUCUCUGGGCCUGUUCUGACGCUGAGGCGCGAAAGCUAGGGGAGCGAACAGG
RNAcentral lists this ribosomal RNA (253 nucleotides) under uncultured bacterium. RNAcentral's name for it is "partial 16S ribosomal RNA". It matches the Rfam family "Bacterial small subunit ribosomal RNA", at positions 524 to 776 of the family's 1533-position model. The record is from RNAcentral.